This 40-nucleotide ribosomal RNA is filed under the name Cervus elaphus (red deer). RNAcentral describes it as "12S ribosomal RNA". Lineage: Eukaryota; Metazoa; Chordata; Mammalia; Artiodactyla; Cervidae. The record is from RNAcentral.
UAUAGGUUUGGUCCCAGCCUUCCUAUUAACCCUUAAUAGA